GACAGAGGGUGCAAACGUUGUUCGGAAUUACUGGGCGUAAAGCGCGUGUAGGCGGCACGGCAAGUCGGAUGUGAAAGCCCGCGGCUCAACCGUGGAAGUGCACUCGAAACUGCCGAGCUAGAGUCUCGGAGAGGAAGGUGGAAUGCUUGGUGUAGAGGUGAAAUUCGUAGAUAUCAAGCAGAACACCUGUGGCGAAGGCGGCCUUCUGGACGAUGACUGACGCUGAGACGCGAAAGCGUGGGGAGCAAACAGG
Molecule: ribosomal RNA, 253 nt
Filed under: uncultured bacterium
Lineage: Bacteria
Also listed under: 1 other name
Description: partial 16S ribosomal RNA
Rfam family: Bacterial small subunit ribosomal RNA
Source: RNAcentral